GGGUCACCAGGAGAAACACUGAUGCUGCAGUGUCAGAGCGAGAAGAAGCUGUGCUAGCUAGCACCUGUCAUGGCGUUAAACCAUCCCAUACCCACCAGAACAGGACUCGCUGUCGGUCUCUGACAAGAUCAGCAUGUAACAGGUUUGAGCGGGAUUGACAAAAUCAUCUACGGGCGGCAUGUGAAAGGCGCCACAGAACUGCAUCAUCAAACAUCAUAAAUACAGACUUCCCAUGCGCUGAGUGCGGCCGACUCUGUGCAUCAGGGUUCGGACUUCAGAGUCAUAUGCGUAGCCAUAGAGAAGAACUGUGACAAUAUCAUCAUCAGCGAUGGACUACCAACACCCACCAGAUUCAGCUUGAAGUGGAAGGGCUGAAGCAUUGUAAAGAAAGUCCGUACUUGUGGUAGUUCUAGCCCGGCAAAGAGCAAGAAGCAUAAAUCUCCUGAGAAGAUGGCAAGGGAGAGAUUUCCACUCCACUUCUGGAGAAGCAAGACGUUUGGCUCAAGUUCAGGUUCCAGCAAAGGAUACUUGGCAGGAUUAGGCUGAUGAAGACCCCCUCCCCCAAUCACAGAGAGAUAACAGUACCUCAAAGAGAAGAAGCUGC
Trachemys scripta elegans is the source of this 604-nucleotide long non-coding RNA. RefSeq lists it as uncharacterized. The transcript is spliced from 3 exons. The record is from RefSeq and is a predicted model, not a curated record. NCBI's taxonomy places the organism in Eukaryota, Metazoa, Chordata, Testudines, Emydidae.